Molecule: long non-coding RNA, 313 nt
Organism: Carlito syrichta (Philippine tarsier)
Lineage: Eukaryota; Metazoa; Chordata; Mammalia; Primates; Tarsiidae
Exons: 3
Source: RefSeq, a predicted model, not a curated record
CAAUGAAAGGACUCCUCCAUCUUCAUGCCCAUUAAAUGGUUUAGUGGAUAGAUGCUGACAAACUAGACUCAACAUCAGUCUCAGCAUCUCCUCUGCUGAACAUAACUGGGCUUGGUUCCAGUGUCAGAAGCAAGCAUAAUCAUUGCUGUGUCCUCAGUCCACAGGGCUGCAUCUCUUGAAGCUGUGAGCUAUGCCAUUGAUAAUUUAAAAGCCAAGGUGCCCAUUUGUAAAAAGGGCAUUUAUAUAAUAUCGCUUUUCCAAGGUGAAAUAUGAAAUAUACAUGCCCGAAAGAAUGCAUCACAAUCCAGUAAGC